RNAcentral lists this transfer RNA (82 nucleotides) under Candidatus Margulisiibacteriota bacterium. RNAcentral describes it as "tRNA-Leu". It matches the Rfam family "tRNA". Rfam says of the family: Transfer RNA (tRNA) molecules are approximately 80 nucleotides in length. Their secondary structure includes four short double-helical elements and three loops (D, anti-codon, and T loops). Lineage: Bacteria; Bacillati; Candidatus Margulisiibacteriota. The record is from RNAcentral. RNAcentral also lists the same sequence under 2 other names.
GCGCGCAUGGCGGAAUUGGCAGACGCACCAGACUUAGGAUCUGGCGGAGCAAUCCUUGGGGGUUCAAGUCCCUCUGCGCGCA